This 656-nucleotide ribosomal RNA is filed under the name Salmonella enterica subsp. enterica serovar Poona. Its description in RNAcentral is "partial 23S ribosomal RNA". It matches the Rfam family "Bacterial large subunit ribosomal RNA", at positions 1 to 688 of the family's 2925-position model. The record is from RNAcentral. Lineage: Bacteria; Pseudomonadati; Pseudomonadota; Gammaproteobacteria; Enterobacterales; Enterobacteriaceae.
GGGUUGUGAGGUUAAGCGACUAAGCGUACACGGUGGAUGCCCUGGCAGUCAGAGGCGAUGAAGGGCGUGCUAAUCUGCGAUAAGCGCCGGUAAGGUGAUAUGAACCGUUAUAACCGGCGAUACCCGAAUGGGGAAACCCAGUGUGACUCGUCACACUAUCAUUAACUGAAUCCAUAGGUUAAUGAGGCGAACCGGGGGAACUGAAACAUCUAAGUACCCCGAGGAAAAGAAAUCAACCGAGAUUCCCCCAGUAGCGGCGAGCGAACGGGGAGGAGCCCAGAUCCUGAAUCAGCAUGUGUGUUAGUGGAAGCGUCUGGAAAGGCGCGCGAUACAGGGUGACAGCCCCGUACACAAAAGCGCAUGUGCUGUGAGCUCGAUGAGUAGGGCGGGACACGUGGUAUCCUGUCUGAAUAUGGGGGGACCAUCCUCCAAGGCUAAAUACUCCUGACUGACCGAUAGUGAACCAGUACCGUGAGGGAAAGGCGAAAAGAACCCCGGCGAGGGGAGUGAAAAAGAACCUGAAACCGUGUACGUACAAGCAGUGGGAGCACAGGUUUACCUGUGUGACUGCGUACCUUUUGUAUAAUGGGUCAGCGACUUAUAUUCUGUAGCAAGGUUAACCGUAUAGGGGAGCCGUAGGGAAACCGAGUCUUAAC